RNAcentral lists this ribosomal RNA (366 nucleotides) under Triticum aestivum (bread wheat). Its description in RNAcentral is "partial small subunit ribosomal RNA". Lineage: Eukaryota; Viridiplantae; Streptophyta; Magnoliopsida; Poales; Poaceae. The record is from RNAcentral.
AUGCAUCAUGCCAACCUUCCCAUCUCAUCUCACCUAGCUCUCUCGAUCACAAUUCACAACCACCAUCAACCAGCCAAUCCAUCCAUCACCGUGUCCACCACGAGUCCCUGCCUACGCUUCCUCAUGGCGGCCGCCACCAACACCAAGCAGCAGCAGCAGCCGGCACCGAAGCCGGAGUUUGCCAACGGCGAGAAAGCCAAAGCGCUGGUCGACCAGGAGAACCUGGCAGCGGGAGUGAUACGGGGCACCGAGGAAGUGAAAGCCAAAGCAGAAGCCACUGCCACGGAAGCCAAAGCUGUGCUGGAGAAGAAGGCCACGGCGUGCAGUGGCUGGAAAGAGCGCGUGGCAGGGGCCUGGAGCAGCUGA